Long non-coding RNA from Gasterosteus aculeatus aculeatus (three-spined stickleback), 1142 nucleotides. NCBI's taxonomy places the organism in Eukaryota, Metazoa, Chordata, Actinopteri, Perciformes, Gasterosteidae. The record is from Ensembl.
AUACUGGUCUGAUUUCUCUAGACCAGGAAAAGGCUUUUGACCGCGUUGAGCACAGCUUCCUCUGGAAGGUCAUGGGGAAGUUUGGGUUCAGCGCUGGUUUCAUAGCUAAGAUCAAAGUGUUGUACAGCGAGGUUGAGAGUGUGCUGAAGUUAAACGGUAGUCUGUGUGCUCCUUUUAGGGUGCGUAGAGGGGUCCGGCAGGGUUGUGCUAUGUCCGGAAUGCUCUAUGCACUCUCCCUGGAACCCCUUCUCAGCAGAAUACGCUCUAGCCUGGAGGGCUUGGUUUUACCUGGUUUUCGUAGGAACAUGUUUUUAUUAUUUAGGGAUGCGGACCUUUUAAACAGCGUGGUGGAGGAUUUUAGCAAGGCAUCGGCAGCGAGGGUGAACUGGAGGAAAAGCGAAGCCCUUGCCGUCUGUGAAUGGCGUGACGGCCUCCCGGUUCUUCCCCAAAGGGCCAAGCUGGACGUCAGCAGCAGCGUCACCCCUGGCCUGACGGGGGCGCUGCGAAAAACAAAAACAUUGUGCCUGCAGCAGCUGGUGGACGCAGUGGGGCCGACGCUGAGCGAUGCCCUGGCCCUGGGCUCACUGCUUGGGCUGCAUUCGGUCCGGGUGGCGGGGAGGCUCCUGGAGCUGUGGAGCCAAAGGCUGACUGGGGAAGAGAAGAGCCUCGUCACGGAAUACAGCCAGAAGAUGAUACCGGACCCUGCAGACCCGUUUCCAGAGAUCUACCUGAGUCCGGGGCUAGGGGACCUCACCGCCCCCCUGCUAGCCACGACACGCCCCGAUCAACUGACUUUACAUGAAGCGGGCAAAAAGACAUGGUAUUUUAACUGCGUGAAGGUCACAAACAGGACUGGACUGUGCAACAGGCUCCCCACUGUGUGGUCCAACAGACUUGGACAAAAUGGACCUGGCCCGCAGUGGAGGAUUUUAUACAAACCUCCCCUCAAAAAACGGACUGCCGACCUCCAGUGGAGAAUUUUACAUGUCUGUCCAGGCUCAUCACCACUGGAGGAGCGAAGUCCUGCGCGUCCCUGGUCCACUGGUUCGGACGUCUGACUGCCAGUUGCCCUCGGCUGCUGCUGCUGCUGCUUCUAGUGUGUCUGCUGCUAGUGGUGCGUCUGCUGCUACACUACACUGCUG